UACGAAGGGAGCUAGCGUUGUUCGGAAUCACUGGGCGUAAAGCGCACGUAGGCGGAUGUGUCAGUCAGGGGUGAAAUCCCGGAGCUCAACUUCGGAACUGCCUUUGAUACAGCACGUCUUGAGUCCGAUAGAGGUGGGUGGAAUUCCUAGUGUAGAGGUGAAAUUCGUAGAUAUUAGGAAGAACACCGGUGGCGAAGGCGGCCCGCUGGAUCGGUACUGACGCUGAGGCACGAAAGCGUGGGGAGCAAACAGG
Molecule: ribosomal RNA, 253 nt
Filed under: uncultured bacterium
Lineage: Bacteria
Description: partial 16S ribosomal RNA
Rfam family: Bacterial small subunit ribosomal RNA
Source: RNAcentral